UCUAAUAUGGCAGAACAGUGCGAAGGACUUAAGAUCCUUAAACAAAAACAAGCUUUUUUUUUAGAA
This 66-nucleotide transfer RNA is filed under the name Elateroidea sp. 9 KM-2017. RNAcentral's name for it is "tRNA-Leu". The record is from RNAcentral. Lineage: Eukaryota; Metazoa; Arthropoda; Insecta; Coleoptera.